GGCUGGUUACCUGAAAUGCAUUGAAAUGAGAAGAAUUUAACGGAUCACUGUUUUAAAUGGGUGACCCGUUAUCUUUAAACAGUGACCUCCAAGUUCUAGAUUCGCCCACAAGAGGAAACAUCCUCCCCACAUCCAACCUGUCGAGAUGCCUCACGAUCUGGUGCGUCUCAUUCUAGACUGCCCCCAACCCGAAUCUUUUCGAACAGGACAAGCUGCCCAUUUUAUGCUGCAGUCUAGUGAACAUUCUCCGAACCCCUUCCAACGCCUUAACGUCCUUCCUUAAAUAAUGACGGCUAUACUGUGAACAACACUCCAGAUGUGGUCUGACUGAUGUUGUCUUUUCUGUUUUCAAUUCCCUUCACUGUUUCAAUAUGUGAAGUAUCGCAGGAAAGUAGAACAAUGCAAGAUUUCACCAACAGGAACAAGAGAGUGGAGCUGCAGUGGUUGUAUAACUGGAAUAAGGCCGACUGCGUAACCUGGUGAAAAACAUGAUGAUGCUGGAGGAACUCAGCAGGCCAGGCAGCAUCCGUGGAGGAAAGCAGGCGGUCAACGUUUCAGGCAGAAGAUACAGGAGUCUGAGGGCAAGUACCACCGGGCUCAAGGAAAGUUUCUAUCCCACAGUGAUAAGACUAUUGAACGCUUCCCUUAUACAAUGAGAUGGACUUGUUUGACCUUGCACCUUAUUGUCUAUCUGCAAUGUUAUUCCCUGUAGCUGUGACACUUUACUCUGUAUUCUGUUAUUGUUUUUACCCUGUACUACCCCAUGCACUCUGUACUACCUUGAUGUACUGUGUAAUGAAUUGAUCUGUACGAUCGGUAUGCAAGACAAGUUUUUCACUGUACCUCGGUA
Pristis pectinata (smalltooth sawfish) is the source of this 850-nucleotide long non-coding RNA. RefSeq lists it as uncharacterized. Lineage: Eukaryota; Metazoa; Chordata; Chondrichthyes; Rhinopristiformes; Pristidae. The transcript is spliced from 3 exons. The record is from RefSeq and is a predicted model, not a curated record.